GACGAACGCUGGCGGCGUGCUUAACACAUGCAAGUCGAACGGAAAGGCCUCUUUCGGGGGGUACUCGAGUGGCGAACGGGUGAGUAACACGUGAGUAACCUGCCCUUGACUUUGGGAUAACUUCAGGAAACUGGGGCUAAUACCGGAUAGGAGCUCCUGCUGCAUGGUGGGGGUUGGAAAGUUUCGGCGGUUGGGGAUGGACUCGCGGCUUAUCAGCUUGUUGGUGGGGUAGUGGCUUACCAAGGCUUUGACGGGUAGCCGGCCUGAGAGGGUGACCGGCCACAUUGGGACUGAGAUACGCCCCAGACUCCUACGGGAGGCAGCAGUGGGGAAUAUUGCACAAUGGGUGGAAGCCUGAUGCAGCAACGCCGUGUGCGGGAGGACGGCCUUCGGGUUGUAAACCGCUUUCGCUCAUGACGAAGCUUUGUGUGACGGUAGUGGGUAAAGAAGCACCGGCUAACUACGUG
Molecule: ribosomal RNA, 467 nt
Filed under: uncultured bacterium
Lineage: Bacteria
Description: partial 16S ribosomal RNA
Rfam family: Bacterial small subunit ribosomal RNA
Source: RNAcentral